RNAcentral lists this ribosomal RNA (196 nucleotides) under uncultured bacterium. RNAcentral describes it as "partial 16S ribosomal RNA". It matches the Rfam family "Bacterial small subunit ribosomal RNA", at positions 1307 to 1500 of the family's 1533-position model. The record is from RNAcentral.
GCAACUCGCCUGCAUGAAGUUGGAAUUGCUAGUAAUCGCGAAUCAGAAUGUCGCGGUGAAUACGUUCCCGGGCCUUGUACACACCGCCCGUCACACCAUGAGAGUCGAUAACACCCGAAGCCUGUGAGCUAACCUUUUAGGAGGCAGCAGUCGAAGGUGGGGGUUGAUGAUUGGGGUGAAGUCGUAACAAGGUAUC